CGGGACACCAUGGAGCGUGCUGGAUCGCGGGGAGGUAGGAGCUGAUGCGGAGGUCUGCAGCCCCUUGCAUCUGCUCCCGAAUAAGUCAUCAGCAUCCAAUGCGAUUUGUCAACAUGAGUGCAUUUCUGUGCUUCAGACCUAAGAUUUCACUAAUAUCUCAAUUUUCCAUGGUAAUUAGGCUAGAUGAUGAGAAGAAAGAAAGGAAGAAGAAGAAAGAGAGGAAGAAAGAAAGAAAGAAAGAAAGAAAGAAAGAAAGAAAGAAAAAGAAAGAAAGAAAGAAAGAAAGAAAGAAAGAAAGAAAGAAAAGAACUGCUUGAGUAUUGACCAUGUACUGCAAAAUUCUCAAAACCUUUUUCCUUGCUUUUCUUUAAUUUCUUGGGAUUUUUUUUUUCCUGUUCAUGUUUUCAAGUGUCUGUGAGGCCGGGAUUUCAGCCCCCGCUGCUCAAGCCUGCUGUCAUUUCACUGCUCACUGGGCAAGCCCCUCUGGGAGUGGCUGUGAGCUGGUUUGCAGCUAAGGCCCCCCAACGGGCGGCUCUCCGAGGCCUGUGAUAAGUUGGGGGGGGGCUGCUCCUCUUGAGAUAAACCGCGAGCAUCCUUCUCUUCAGCGUCCCUGUUCGCUUGUCUCGCCCCGUGACAUAGAGCUGGAACCCAGAAACGUCUCCUUCCUCAUCCAUAUUUAUACUAAGAAGAAAUGGGCAUUAAUGAGAAACAAUUGCUUAAAUGAGACUUGCUCUAAAGCAAAGGACUUUGCGGAUAUUCCGGGGUUUAAAGGGCAGCCCAUUAGGACGGUUUCCAUCUCUUUAAAACAGGUCACCUUGGGGUUCUGGGGAGAGAGUGUCAUUCUCAAGGUCAUCGUGUGCACCGCGCAGCGGCCCGGGGAGAAGUGAGCCCUGCAGAUGGGCUGGUGAACGCUGAAGACCGACUACCGACUGGCGGUGCUCCGGGUCCUGCUGUCCUCUGGCCGACAGGCCACGGCCGCUCCACGCUUCAGAUUCGCCCACUGACCUCCUACCGCGGGAGUGUGGAUCCAGAGCGACCGUUGCCUUACAUCGUGAUCCUGACCACUCCCUCCACUCUCAAGGUCCACGGGAUUACUCCCUGGGUCCACUACACCCACGUCCGGCCAGCUGACCCACACGCCAUCCUCAAGGACUGUGUUCCAGAAUGGAAAAGCCAACCGGACAAGGACAAUCCCCUAAAGCUAAGACUGCGCCCUUCUCACUUACUUCCCACCUCCAGGACUCCCUAGUCUGAGGUUGUCCUUCAAAAUAGAAGGGGAUUAGACUUAGUCUUCUUACAACAAAGGGUGGGGGGCGGGUAUGUGCUGCCUUAAUCAUUCCCCCUGGUUCACUCUGAGAGCAACCUGGACCCAUGAGGGGCAAACAUACACCCGGGACACUAUCACCACAAAGAGGGUAAUAAGCAUAUCCAUCACCAGCCAAAGAUUUCCCGAGUCUCUGCUGGGAACCCAGCCUGAGAUCCUCCCUCUUAACAAGUUUUGAAGUGCACACCCGCGUGCUGUUAGCUAUAGGCCCUAUGCCGUACAGCAGAAAUCUACAGCUCACUCAUCUUGUGUAAGUAUAACUUUAUUUUCAUUAAACAAUGUCUUUUUUUUUUUUUAAAGAUUUUAUUUAUUUGGGAUCCCCAAGUGGCUCAGCGGUUUAGUGCCGCCUUCGGCCCAAGGCAUGAUCCUGGAAUCCCGGGAUCGAGUCUACCAUCAGGCUCCCUACAGGGAGUCUGCUUCUCCCUCUGCCUGUGUCUCUGCCUCUCUCUCUCUCUCUCUCUCUCUCUCUGUCUGUCUCUAAUGAAUAAAUAAAUAAAAUAUAUUUUUUAAAGAUUUUAU
RNAcentral lists this long non-coding RNA (1843 nucleotides) under Vulpes vulpes (red fox). RNAcentral's name for it is "lncRNA (ENSVVUG00000008452.1)". The record is from RNAcentral. Lineage: Eukaryota; Metazoa; Chordata; Mammalia; Carnivora; Canidae.